RNAcentral lists this transfer RNA (74 nucleotides) under Bacteroidota bacterium. Its description in RNAcentral is "Bacteroidetes bacterium (groundwater metagenome) tRNA-Pro". It matches the Rfam family "tRNA". From Rfam's summary of the family: Transfer RNA (tRNA) molecules are approximately 80 nucleotides in length. Their secondary structure includes four short double-helical elements and three loops (D, anti-codon, and T loops). The record is from RNAcentral. Lineage: Bacteria; Pseudomonadati; Bacteroidota. RNAcentral also lists the same sequence under 1 other name.
CGGGAUGUAGCGCAGUCCGGUAGCGCACUCCCUUGGGGUGGGAGAGGUCGCAAGUUCAAAUCUUGUCAUCCCGA